UGAUGUGAAGGGUUUUUUUUUCCCCUUCAGGCAUUGAAAAGGAAAAGAUGAAAUAUAUGUUUAUAUAUAACUGUGUUUCUGCAUACCUCACUGAAGUCAAAACGCACUUAAUUGUUCUACCGCCCUCCCUCCGUGGCCGCCGGCACUGGGUGAAGCGGGAGGAGCUCAGGUACCCUGCCACAGAAAAGUACUGGGACUGAGCAAAAGAAAGAGUCCGCUUCCUUUAGACCCGCUUUGAUGGACCGCUGUGAUGGAAACGGAAUGGUCCCGCAGGAAAACGGCAAAAGUCAAACCUUUCUUCCCUCCUGACUGCCUUUUCACGAUGUCCUGACACUUGUGCGUCGGCCGGCUCUGAGUGCCGUGCGGUGUCGGGGCCCCGGCUGUUUGAGCAGAAUUGCCCCGACAGCUUUCCUGGCCGACUGUCUCUCAGAUUAUAGAUUUGUCACCCCAGCUGGCGUCCUCCUGCCCCUGGGUCGGCUCUUGGGCCUUCCCACCAGCGCCUUCUCUGAAUGAGAGUCGUUUGAAUUUUAGACGAAAUUAGAUACGAUGAGUAAAUUAAAAUGGCCUGGG
Long non-coding RNA from Suricata suricatta (meerkat), 570 nucleotides. RefSeq lists it as uncharacterized. The record is from RefSeq and is a predicted model, not a curated record. The transcript is spliced from 3 exons. Lineage: Eukaryota; Metazoa; Chordata; Mammalia; Carnivora; Herpestidae.